CCUACGGGCGGCUGCAGUGGGGAAUAUUGGACAAUGGGGGCAACCCUGAUCCAGCCAUGCCGCGUGUGUGAAGAAGGCCCUCGGGUUGUAAAGCACUUUCAGUGAGGAAGAACGCCUGGUGGUUAAUACCCAUCAGGAAAGACAUCACUCACAGAAGAAGCACCGGCUAACUCCGUGCCAGCAGCCGCGGUAAUACGGAGGGUGCGAGCGUUAAUCGGAAUUACUGGGCGUAAAGCGCGCGUAGGUGGCUUGAUAAGCCGGUUGUGAAAGCCCCGGGCUCAACCUGGGAACGGCAUCCGGAACUGGCAAGCUAGAGUGCAGGAGAGGAAGGUAGAAUUCCCGGUGUAGCGGUGAAAUGCGUAGAGAUCGGGAGGAAUACCAGUGGCGAAGGCGGCCUUCUGGACUGACACUGACACUGAGGUGCGAAAGCGUGGGUAGCAAACAGGAUUAGAUACCCCGGUAGUC
Molecule: ribosomal RNA, 465 nt
Filed under: Vreelandella stevensii
Lineage: Bacteria; Pseudomonadati; Pseudomonadota; Gammaproteobacteria; Oceanospirillales; Halomonadaceae
Description: partial 16S ribosomal RNA
Rfam family: Bacterial small subunit ribosomal RNA
Source: RNAcentral